GGUUGUAAAGUACUUUUGUUAGGGAAGAAAAGUCAGCUGUGAAUAAUGGCUGAUACUGACGGUACCUAAAGAAUAAGCACCGGCUAACUACGUGCCAGCAGCCGCGGUAAUACGUAGGGUGCGAGCGUUAAUCGGAAUUAUUGGGCGUAAAGCGAGUGUAGACGGUUAUUUAAGCCAGAUGUGAAAUACCCGAGCCUAACUUGGGAGGUGCAUAUGGAACUGGGUAGCUAGAGUGUGUCAGAGGGAGGUAGAACUCCACGUGUAGCAGUGAAAUGCGUAGAGAUGUGGAAGAAUACCGAUGGCGAAGGCAGCCUCCUGGGAUAACACUGACGUUGAGGCUCAAAAGCGUGGGGAGCAAACAGGAUUAGAUACCCUGGUAGUCCACGCCCUAAACGAUGACAAUUAGCUGUUGGNCCCCAUUAAGGGGUGAGUAGCGAAGCUAACGCGUGAAAUUGUCCGCCUGGGGAGUACGGUCGCAAGAUUAAAACUCAAAGGAAUUGACGGGGACCCGCACAAGCGGUGGAUGAUGUGGAUUAAUUCGAUGCAACGCGAAGAACCUUACCUGGUCUUGACAUGUACAGAAGGUUUUAGAGAUAAGACUGUGCCUUCGGGAACUGUAACACAGGUGCUGCGUGGCUGUCGUCAGCUCGUGUCGUGAGAUGUUGGGUUAAGUCCCGCAACGAGCGCAACCCUUGUCAUUAGUUGCCAUCAUUAAGUUGGGCACCCUAAUGAGACCGCCGGUGAUAAACCGGAGGAAGGUGGGGAUGAUGUCAAGUCAUCAUGGCCCUUAUGACCAGGGCUUCACACGUCAUACAAUGGUAGGUACAGAGGGUAGCGAAGCGGCGACGUGAAGCCAAUCUCAGAAAGCCUAUCGUAGUCCGGAUUGUAGUCUGCAACUCGACUACAUGAAGUCGGAAUCGCUAGUAAUCGCAGAUCAGCAUGUUGCGGUGAAUACGUUCCCGGGUCCUGUACACACCGCCCGUCACACCAUGGGAGUGGGAGAUGCCAGAAGUGGGUAGGGUAACCGAGAGGAGCCCGCUCACCACGGUAUGUUUCAUGACUGGGGUG
Molecule: ribosomal RNA, 1068 nt
Filed under: uncultured bacterium
Lineage: Bacteria
Description: bacterial SSU rRNA
Rfam family: Bacterial small subunit ribosomal RNA
Source: RNAcentral